This 255-nucleotide long non-coding RNA is filed under the name Pan troglodytes (chimpanzee). RNAcentral describes it as "long non-coding RNA NONPTRT000122". The record is from RNAcentral. Lineage: Eukaryota; Metazoa; Chordata; Mammalia; Primates; Hominidae.
GGGAAAAUUGCCAAAAGAACCGCUCCUGACGCACCAAGCGGUGGGGUCGCAGGAUCCGCGGCCUUUUACUUCUCUCCCGCAGACCCACUCCGGGGUGCAGGGAUGCAGCUCAGUACCCCCGUCAGCCCAAGUUUCUCUGCCACUUCUCGGGCCCCUCUUGGAGUUCCAAAUGUGCAAAGCUUAGGGAUGGGAGGGUGCCUGGCCUGCCUGACAGUGUUGGAGGAACUGAAAAAUUGGCGUGGCUGCAGCACAGAG